This is a long non-coding RNA of Acinonyx jubatus (cheetah), 1922 nucleotides long. RefSeq lists it as uncharacterized. Lineage: Eukaryota; Metazoa; Chordata; Mammalia; Carnivora; Felidae. The transcript is spliced from 3 exons. The record is from RefSeq and is a predicted model, not a curated record.
GGGAGGGGUGCGGCGGGGGAGGGGAAGAGGCCUGGCCCCGCGGCCGCCCGCCGCCGCCGCCCGCCGCCGCCGCCCCGGCCCGCCCGGCCCGCCGCGGGGCCACGGGCCCGACACGGCGCCCCGGAUUCGCCUCGGCUCGGCCGCGCGUGUACCUCCCUUCCUCCGUGAUCUCCGACGCUGGUAAAGUGGAAGGAACUCGGGUACCCUGCCACAGAAAAGUACUGGGACUGAGCAAGAGAAAGAGGGGAGCCUGGGUGGCUCAGUUGGUUAACUGUCCAACUUCAGCUCAGGUCACGACGUCACAGUUCGUGAGUUUGAGCCCCACAUCGAGCUCUGUGCUGACAGCUCGGAGCCUGGAGCCUGCUUCGGAUUCUGUCUCUCUCUCUCAAAAACAUUAAAAAAUGUUUUUCAAAAGAAAUCAUGAAUUUUAUGGGUGAAUUUUUAGAAACCAUUAAAAUGUUAUGGAGGUUUUUAAAAUUUUUACCUAUUAUUGAGAACUAUUUCAUAAGUUCAAAAGAAGAUCAGACAAGGCUUUAAAAAAUAUGACUAUUGUUAUGUUUACUAAACCAGAUGAUGGACACACGUGUUCAUUGUAAUAUUUUUUGUGGUUGAUGUUAUGUUACAUCAACCUUUUGAAUUUACGAAACGAACAAAGAGAGUAUGCAGGUGUCCACAGCCCUCCUUCAACUUUUCUGUAGGUUUGAAAAUUUUCCUAUUUUUCCAAUUAGGUGGAAGGGAACUAAUCGCAAAGAAAAAGCAAGGAAAUAAUGACAUAAAAUUCAGGAUACCGGGUGAGUCGAGGUGAGAAGGAAACCAACAGAAAAGUUGAAAGAGUGCUGUGGACCCCCGUGUACUCUUUUUUGUUUUUUAAGUUUUAAUUUAAAUUCCAGGAUAGCGUGAUAUUAACUUCAGGUGUGCGGUACAGUCGUUCAACACUUCCGUACAUCACCCUGUGCUCGUCACAAUUGCAUUCCUUAACCCCCAUCACCCCUUUCACACACACCCCCAUCCCUCUCCCCUGUGGGAACCACCAGUGUGUUCUCUAUAGUUAAGCGUGUGUUUCCCGGUUUGCCUCUCUUUUUCCCCUUUGCUCAUUUGUUUUUGUUUUUUUUAAUUCCACAUAGGAGUGAAACCAUACGGUAUUUGUCUUUCUCUGACUGACUUAUUUUGCUUAGCAUAAUACUUUCUAGCCCCAUCCAUUUCAUUGCCAGUGGGAAGAUUUCCUUCUUUUUUAUGGCUGAGUAAUAUUCCAUUGUAUCUACAAUGUACCACAUCUUCUUUUUAAAUUUUUUUUUAAUGUUUAUUUAUUUUUGAGACAGAGAGAGACAGAGCAUGAACGGGGAAGGGUCAGAGAGAGGGAGACACAGAAUCUGAAACGGGCUCCAGGCUCUGAGCUGUCAGCCCAGAGCCGGACGCGGGGCUCGAACUCACGGACCGCGAGAUCGUGACUUGAGCUGAAGUCGGACGCUUAACCGACUGAGCCACCCAGGCACCCCUGUACCACAUCUUCUUUCCCCAUUCAACAGUCGAUGGGCACUUGGGUUGCUUCCAUAGUUUGGCUAUUGUAGACAAUGCUGCUCUAAACUUCGGGGUAUUGGAUUCCUUUGAAUUAGCAUUUUUGUAUUCUUUGGGUAAAUACCUAGCAGUGCAAUUGCUGGAUGGUAGGGUAGUUCUAUUUUUAACUUUCUGAGGAACCUUCAUACUGUUUUCCAGAGUGGCUGAAUCAGUGUGCGCACCCACCAACAGCGCAUGAGGGUUCCCCUUUUUCCAGACCCUUGCCAACACCCGUCAUUUCUUGUGUUGUUGAUACCUGUAUACUCUUCUAGAUUUGGUGAUUGUUAAGCUUUUUCCACAUUGACAAAAUGGCACGAGCAAAUGCUUAUGAUCUAAUUUCUUUUUGUUUUUUGUUUGGUUGGGGUUUU